RNAcentral lists this transfer RNA (66 nucleotides) under Sosibia gibba. Its description in RNAcentral is "tRNA-Thr". It matches the Rfam family "tRNA". Rfam says of the family: Transfer RNA (tRNA) molecules are approximately 80 nucleotides in length. Lineage: Eukaryota; Metazoa; Arthropoda; Insecta; Phasmatodea; Lonchodidae. The record is from RNAcentral.
GCUUAAAUAAUUUAAAAUAAAAUAUUGGUCUUGUAAGCCAAAAAUGAAUAUUAUAUUCUUAAAGCU